GGAUUGUAGGCUGAAACUACGCCUACAUGAAGCUGGAGUUGCUAGUAAUCGCGAAUCAGCAUGUCGCGGUGAAUACGUUCCCGGGCCUUGUACACACCGCCCGUCACACCAUGAGAGUUGGCAAUACCCAACGUACGUGAUCUAACCCGCAAGGGAGGAAGCGUCCUAAGGUAGGGUCAGCGAUUGGGGUGAAGUCGUAACAAGGUAUC
Molecule: ribosomal RNA, 209 nt
Filed under: uncultured bacterium
Lineage: Bacteria
Description: partial 16S ribosomal RNA
Rfam family: Bacterial small subunit ribosomal RNA
Source: RNAcentral